GUGCUUUUAUACUACCGAGGGAUUGCUUCUCCCUGUUCCAGUACCGAAGAUGGUAUUUGCAAGGCUGUAAACUGCACUUCCAGGCUCCCAGCGGCAGAACUGGAAAAAAACUCCACAGCUCCAUGUCAGCAGGAAGGAGAGGCCAAUCUCUCCUCUACCUCCUCCAAAACCUUCUACCUGAGGUUAGGUCAUAGGACCCCCAUUAACACGCAUCCAGCAGUAUCAAGAGCAGACAUCUCCAGUUCAGUGACAGGCUCUCCAACUGCUGCUGGUCCCAGGAGGUACUUCCUCCCCACAAGGAUAACACCACUGGCAUCCCAUUUAAGAUGGCAAUGACCUACACCCUGGGCACUCGGUCUGACACAGGACUGGGAAACUGCUCACCGCAGAUGCCGCUGCUGCCUGUGCUCAGAGUUCCCCAGAACUGCCCUACCACAUACAACUUGAGUGCCUGGGACAGAGAUGGGGACACCGUGAGGUGCCGCUACGUGCUUGGAGAGCAACUUGGCUGUGCUUUCUGCAGGAAAUAUCCCUUCCUCCUCCUCAAUGAGGAAGUGUGCACUCUAACAUAUGAUGGUACAGGCUUGGAAGGGACCUACCCCUUGGAACUGAUGGCUGAGGAUUUCCCAAGGCAAACAGUGACCCUGACAGCUGGGGCUUGGAUGCAGGAGAUCCAUCCAUACAGUGCUUCAAAUGCAGAAUGGAACCAGGCUCUGAGCUCUGUUCCUCUGCAGUUCACUUUAACAGUGGAAAAGCCAGUGGAGGACUGUUCUUUUGGGAUCAGAAGGCCUACAUUUCUCAGACCAACCCCAGACAACGGGGAAAGGAUCAGCCUCCUGCCAUAUGAAGAGGUUUCCUUUACAGUGGUAGCUGCCAACACAAGAGAAAGGAUGAGUGAUGUGCAGGUCCUGGGUCCCUCUGGGUUGCGCACAUGGGUGCUCACCAAGGAGAGUACCUGCGCUGCAUCUGUGAACAUCACAUGGGAAAACAGCAACGGCAGGAGGCCCUGCCAGGCUUCUGUGUGUUUCGUGGCCACCACGCUGACAGGGUUACAGUCUGAGCUCAGAUGCAUUUGGAUCAUGCAGGCUGCAGGCCACCCACAGGGCAAAGUUCUGCUGUGUCUCCAGGACCGAAUGCAGCUGUCUGUCCCCAGACUGAGCAUAGGAGACAUGCAGGAGGACAAUCUUCAGAGGAGCAACCCUGAGUGCCUAGUGAACAGCAAUAGCACGCACGUGCAGGUGGAGAUACCUCUUGAGAGGUGUGGCACCAGGAGGAAGGAAAAUCCCUCUUUCUUCAUCUUCACCAACAAAAUUACUGGCCACUACAGUAGAGCAUCACCCAGUGCAUUCAGGAAAUCCCUGGCUAUCCCAGUGACCUGCAAAUACAGACAGGAAGAUGACAGUAACAACUAUUGCCCCUCUGUGGGCCAAGAUGACAAAGGCUUUGGCAAUUUCAGCUUUGACAUUAGGUUCAUCAAACCAACUACAGAGGGGAUGACAUGGCUAAAGCAAGGGGCUUCCCUUAAUGCCAGCAUCAAUGACCAGCUCUUGAUCAGCGUCUCAGCCAAAAGUGACUUGGCCAGCGCCCGCUUGGUGGUGCAGUCCUGCCAAGYGCUAGGCAACAAGGAUGCUGUUAAUGCUCCCACCUUCAUCAUACAAAAAGGUUGCUUGAAUUUAAAGGCAGCCAAAGAAGUGAUUUUAGAAGACUCCAAAGACAAGUUGUACAGCUUYCGGCUCUCCUCUGUAGCCAGUACUAUUCCUGAGGUGUUUGUCACCUGUGAUGUGGGACUGUGCUGCAGUCCAAGCAGGUUCAAUCUCUGUCCUGGGUGCCAGUCCUCUCAGAGCCACGGAACAUCAAAGCAGAUCUUGGAGACAAAGCUGUAUCGGAUCAGCACAGGACCCAUUCAGAUCACCAAGAACCCCACCAGUGGGACCAACUAUACAGCUUUGGUGGUGGGUGUGGUGCUGGGAUGCACAGUGACCUGUGUUGUCUUCUUGUUGGUGAAGAAAUCCUUUGUGGGGGUGCAAUACAGGAAUGUUUCUCUACAGCUAUGA
Molecule: long non-coding RNA, 2054 nt
Filed under: Apteryx rowi (Okarito brown kiwi)
Lineage: Eukaryota; Metazoa; Chordata; Aves; Apterygiformes; Apterygidae
Description: lncRNA (ENSARWG00000006649.1)
Source: RNAcentral